GACGAACGCUGGCGGCGUGCUUAACACAUGCAAGUCGAGCGAGGUCCAACCGGUGGCAACACCGGGGAAGACCUAGCGGCGAACGGGUGAGUAACACGUGAGAAACCUGCCCCGAAGUUCGGGAUAACCCGGGAAACCCGAGCUAAUACCGGAUACCCACGAUUGGUCGCAUGGCCGAAUCGUGGAAAGAACUUCGCUUCGGGAGGGUCUCGCGGCCUAUCAGCUUGUUGGUGGGGUAACGGCCCCACCAAGGCAUCGACGGGUAGCUGGUCUGAGAGGACGAUCAGCCACACUGGGACUGAGACACGGCCCAGACUCCUACGGGAGGCAGCAGUGGGGAAUCUUGCGCAAUGGGCGAAAGCCUGACGCAGCAACGCCGCGUGCGGGA
RNAcentral lists this ribosomal RNA (388 nucleotides) under uncultured bacterium. Its description in RNAcentral is "bacterial SSU rRNA". It matches the Rfam family "Bacterial small subunit ribosomal RNA", at positions 28 to 408 of the family's 1533-position model. The record is from RNAcentral.